AUUGAACGCUGGCGGCGUGCCUAACACAUGCAAGUCGAGCGGUAACAGGUGUAGCAAUACAUGCUGACGAGCGGCGAACGGGUGAGUAAUGCUUCGGAAUCUACCUUAUGGUGGGGAAUAACUAGCCGAAAGGUUAGCUAAUACCGCAUACGUCCUACGGGAGAAAGCAGGGGAUCGCAAGACCUUGCGCCAAAAGAUGAGCCGAAGUCGGAUUAGCUAGUUGGUAGGGUAACGGCCUACCAAGGCGACGAUCCGUAGCUGGUCUGAGAGGACGACCAGCCAAACUGGGCCUGAGACACGGCCCAGACUCCUACGGGAGGCAGCAGUGGGGAAUAUUGGACAAUGGGGGAAACCCUGAUCCAGCGACGCCGCGUGUGUGAAGAAGGCCUGCGGGUUGUAAAGCACUUUUAGUGGGGAUGAAAUGUGCAGGGUUAAUACCUCUGCAUUUUGACCUAACCCACAGAAAAAGCACCGGCUAACUCUGUGCCAGCAGCCGCCGUAA
Molecule: ribosomal RNA, 502 nt
Filed under: uncultured bacterium
Lineage: Bacteria
Description: partial 16S ribosomal RNA
Rfam family: Bacterial small subunit ribosomal RNA
Source: RNAcentral